RNAcentral lists this ribosomal RNA (413 nucleotides) under Bacillus licheniformis. RNAcentral describes it as "bacterial SSU rRNA". It matches the Rfam family "Bacterial small subunit ribosomal RNA", at positions 505 to 916 of the family's 1533-position model. Lineage: Bacteria; Bacillati; Bacillota; Bacilli; Caryophanales; Bacillaceae. The record is from RNAcentral.
GUGCCAGCAGCCGCGGUAAUACGUAGGUGGCAAGCGUUGUCCGGAAUUAUUGGGCGUAAAGCGCGCGCAGGCGGUUUCUUAAGUCUGAUGUGAAAGCCCCCGGCUCAACCGGGGAGGGUCAUUGGAAACUGGGGAACUUGAGUGCAGAAGAGGAGAGUGGAAUUCCACGUGUAGCGGUGAAAUGCGUAGAGAUGUGGAGGAACACCAGUGGCGAAGGCGACUCUCUGGUCUGUAACUGACGCUGAGGCGCGAAAGCGUGGGGAGCGAACAGGAUUAGAUACCCUGGUAGUCCACGCCGUAAACGAUGAGUGCUAAGUGUUAGAGGGUUUCCGCCCUUUAGUGCUGCAGCAAACGCAUUAAGCACUCCGCCUGGGGAGUACGGUCGCAAGACUGAAACUCAAAGGAAUUGACGG